Molecule: ribosomal RNA, 253 nt
Filed under: uncultured bacterium
Lineage: Bacteria
Description: partial 16S ribosomal RNA
Rfam family: Bacterial small subunit ribosomal RNA
Source: RNAcentral
UACGAAGGGGGCUAGCGUUGUUCGGAAUCACUGGGCGUAAAGGGCGCGUAGGCGGCUUUAUAAGUCGGGGGUGAAAGCCUGUGGCUCAACCACAGAAUUGCCUUCGAUACUGUAGAGCUUGAGACCGGAAGAGGUAAGUGGAACUGCGAGUGUAGAGGUGAAAUUCGUAGAUAUUCGCAAGAACACCAGUGGCGAAGGCGGCUUACUGGUCCGGUUCUGACGCUGAGGAGCGAAAGCCAGGGGAGCAAACGGG